This 424-nucleotide ribosomal RNA is filed under the name uncultured bacterium. RNAcentral's name for it is "bacterial SSU rRNA". It matches the Rfam family "Bacterial small subunit ribosomal RNA", at positions 958 to 1382 of the family's 1533-position model. The record is from RNAcentral.
AACGCGAAGAACCUUACCAGGGCUUGACAUCCCUCUGACCGGUCGGUAACGCGACCUUCCCUUCGGGGCAGAGGUGACAGGUGGUGCAUGGUUGUCGUCAGCUCGUGUCGUGAGAUGUUGGGUUAAGUCCCGCAACGAGCGCAACCCUUGUCAUUAGUUGCCAUCAGGUAAAGCUGGGCACUCUAAUGAGACCGCCGGGGAUAACUCGGAGGAAGGUGGGGAUGACGUCAAAUCAUCAUGCCCCUUAUGUUCUGGGCUACACACGUGCUACAAUGGCCGGUACAAAGAGCAGCGACCACGCGAGUGCGAGCGAAACUUAAAAACCGGUCUCAGUUCGGAUUGCAGGCUGAAACCCGCCUGCGUGAAGCACGAGUUGCUAGUCCUCGUGAAUCAGAAUGUCACGGUGAAUGCGUUCCCGGGUCUU